Boleophthalmus pectinirostris (great blue-spotted mudskipper) is the source of this 534-nucleotide non-coding RNA. The record is from the annotation of a RefSeq genome assembly. Lineage: Eukaryota; Metazoa; Chordata; Actinopteri; Gobiiformes; Gobiidae.
CUAAACUUUAUUGAAGUUCAGACAGCAAGGCUUCAGAGACAGAAAUCUGACACAAGAUGCUAAUACUUUUUAUUUGGUUUAGUUUUUACAUUUGUGGAACUAAAGCUGCACAAAAUGUCUCACAAACUCCUCUUGAGGUUGUGAAAUUUGCCGGUGAAUCAACCAACGAAAUGAAAUGCUCUCAUAAAGAUUCAACAUUUGAACAGAUCCUCUGGUACAAACAGGACAAAAGCGCUACAUUCAAAUUCCUCGGCUUCCUGAACUUGAAAAAUGCCUACCCCGAAGACGAUGUCAAAGAUCGCAUUCAGUUAAGUGGAAAUGGACGUUCCGAUUCCACUCUCUCUAUAGGGAACCUGACAGUAGAAGACAGCGCUGUGUAUUUCUGUGCAGCCAGACGCCACAGUGCUGCAGAGCCUUAUAAAGCUCUCACAAAAACCCUCCAUGUGAAAUAUCAGACCAAAGAGCCACCUGCAAACAGAAAAACCACUACUCAAGUCAGAUAAAAACUAUGUAGACUAUGAAGCCAGCAUCUAU